GAACGUUGGCGGCGUGGAUUAGGCAUGCAAGUCGAACGAAUCCCGGGGGCAACUCCGGGUGAAGUGGCGAAAGGGGCAGUAAGGCGUGGCUAACCUACCCCGGGGACGGGGAUAGCCUUCCUAACGGAAGGGUAAUACCCGGCGAUGUGGCGGGGGGACAUCCCCCUGCCAUGAAACGAGUUUCGCCUCGGGAGGGGGUCACGUGCUAUUAGUUUGUUGGCGGGGUAAAGGCCCACCAAGGCGAAGAUGGCUAGCGGGUGUGAGAGCACGACCCGCGCCACUGGCACUGAGACACUGGCCAGACUCCUACGGGAGGCUGCAGUCGAGGAUCUUCGGCAAUGGGCGCAAGCCUGACCGAGCGACGCCGCGUGUGCGAUGAAGGC
Molecule: ribosomal RNA, 383 nt
Filed under: uncultured bacterium
Lineage: Bacteria
Description: bacterial SSU rRNA
Rfam family: Bacterial small subunit ribosomal RNA
Source: RNAcentral